CGGGACGGGGUGGAGUAAUGUCUGGGAAACUAGCCUGAUGGAGGGGGGUAACUACUGGAAACGGUAGCUAAUACCGCAUAACGUCGCAAGACCAAAGAGGGGGACCUUCGGGUCUCUUGCCAUCGGAUGUGCCCAGAUGGGAUUAGCUAGUAGGUGGGGUAACGGCUCACCUAGGCGACGAUCCCUAGCUGGUCUGAGAGGAUGACCAGCCACACUGGAACUGAGACACGGUCCAG
This 236-nucleotide ribosomal RNA is filed under the name uncultured bacterium. RNAcentral's name for it is "partial 16S ribosomal RNA". It matches the Rfam family "Bacterial small subunit ribosomal RNA", at positions 104 to 334 of the family's 1533-position model. The record is from RNAcentral.